This 301-nucleotide ribosomal RNA is filed under the name uncultured bacterium. RNAcentral describes it as "partial 16S ribosomal RNA". It matches the Rfam family "Bacterial small subunit ribosomal RNA", at positions 509 to 807 of the family's 1533-position model. The record is from RNAcentral.
CAGUCGCCGCGGGAAUACGAAGGGGGCUAGCGUUGCUCGGAUUUACUGGGCGUAAAGGGUGCGUAGGCGGAUCGUUUAGUUGGGGGUGAAAGCCCGGGGCUCAACCUCGGAAUUGCCUUCAAUACUGGCGGCCUUGAGUAUGGAAGAGGUAAGUGGAACUCCGAGUGUAGAGGUGAAAUUCGUAGAUAUUCGGAAGAACACCGGUGGCGAAGGCGACUUACUGGUCCAUUACUGACGCUGAGGCACGAAAGCGUGGGGAGCAAACAGGAUUAGAUACCCGCGUAGUCCCUGUCUCUUAUAC